UACGUAGGGGGCAAGCGUUGUCCGGAAUCAUUGGGCGUAAAGAGCGCGUAGGCGGUCCAGUAAGUCCGCUCUGAAAGUCCGGGGCUCAACCCCGGGAGGCGGGCGGAUACUGUCGGGCUAGAGUCCGGAAGAGGCGAGUGGAAUUCCUGGUGUAGCGGUGAAAUGCGUAGAGAUCCGGAAGAACACCGGAGGCGAAGGCGGCUUGCUGGGCGUGAUCUGACGCUGAGGCGCGAAAGCGUGGGGAGCGAACAGG
Molecule: ribosomal RNA, 253 nt
Filed under: uncultured bacterium
Lineage: Bacteria
Description: partial 16S ribosomal RNA
Rfam family: Bacterial small subunit ribosomal RNA
Source: RNAcentral